CCUGUUGGAAUGCAGCAAUCUUCUACUUCCAAAACCUCCAAACACUACUACAACGACUGCUUUAUUUGGGAUGAGCUGCAGAACUCACUCACAACUUCACCAUGAGUUGUCCCACAAUGCCCCACUGGCAAUACAAUCAAUACCAGGACUCCUAGUGAGGACACACCACUGACACAAGGAGCCAAGUGUGCACACACAGAUUGCACCCUGCCACUAGACUUCCGGCUCCUUGGCAGUUACCUUUCCUGGGCAGAGUUCCAUAUCUCUCUCCCCCAGACCAGGAUCUCUCCAGGCUGCACAGCUCUCUGCCUACACUGUGAAUUCCCCAGCAAAGUCAAACUACCUAACCAGGCCUGCUUUCC
This is a long non-coding RNA of Mauremys reevesii (Reeves's turtle), 362 nucleotides long. RefSeq lists it as uncharacterized. NCBI's taxonomy places the organism in Eukaryota, Metazoa, Chordata, Testudines, Geoemydidae. The transcript is spliced from 3 exons. The record is from RefSeq and is a predicted model, not a curated record.